GACAGAGGUGGCAAGCGUUGCUCGGAUUCACUGGGCUUAAAGGGCGCGUAGGUGGUCUUGUAAGUCAAAGGUGGAAUUCCACAGCUUAACUGUGGAACUGCCUUUGAUACUGCAAGGCUUGAGUCAGGUAGAGGAGGGCGGAAUUCCCGGUGUAGCGGUGAAAUGCGUAGAUAUCGGGAGGAAGGCCGGUGGCGAAGGCGGCCCUCUGGGCCUGUACUGACACUGAGGCGCGAAAGCGUGGGGAGCAAACAGG
This 253-nucleotide ribosomal RNA is filed under the name uncultured microorganism. RNAcentral's name for it is "partial 16S ribosomal RNA". It matches the Rfam family "Bacterial small subunit ribosomal RNA", at positions 524 to 776 of the family's 1533-position model. The record is from RNAcentral.